UUUUAACAGUGUCAAUAGACAUAGUUUUUGCGAUCGUUUUAAAAUCAAUCAAGAAAGAUCAUUUCUAUAGAAAACACUGUUAGACUGAAAGGUACAGUGGAUUAGUUUUUCUCUGCAUAAAUGGAACCUCAAAACCUUGAGUUUUUGCGUGAGAGUUCUAAUUUUUUCUCAAAACCUCCUGCGUUAACAUUAUUACAUGAUGAUUUCUACUUUAAUAAAAAUAUUUCUGCGCCACCUAAUUGCGUGGAAACAAAUGAACCUAACCAAGAUAGUGUAACGAAAAAUGAAUCAGUCAACUCAACGUUCUCAGAAGUCAAAACUGAAACUGUACCGUUAUCGAAUGAAAAUUCUAACACAACGGAAAAGGUUGAUGUUGUCAGUACGAAAAAAAAUUCCAUUCCAUACGAUGUUGAAUCAGAAAAUUAUGUUAUAGAACAAGCGAAAAAAGAAUUUAAUACAAUUUUACGCCAGAUACCUAUUCAGCUUUUAUUUCGAUCUUGUUUGUCAAGGCCUGCCAUUUGUCACGAAGACGAGCUUUGGUUCCAUAGACAAGAAGAUGUUGUUUUAUCCAAUCUUGCCAAACGUCCUUGGGAAGAAAAGCCAGAACUUUCUGGUUUAUAUAAUCUUUUGAAAAGUGUUCCUUCAACUACUAGCGUUUAUUAUGAGUUAUGUGCAAAACGUUUAAGUCAAGGAGUAAUUAAAUGUCGUAAUUUUGUUAGCAAAGAAAAAGAAGAUCAUAUGUUAGAAACACGCUCGUUAUUAGAAAAACAUGGUAUAAUGCGCGAUGUGGAAGAGCUUCGAACUAGAGAGAAUAGUCUUUCAAUUAUGAAAAUAACCUUAGAGUCAAGAAAUGUUUUUCUUUUAACAGGAGGAAAAGUAUAUCCAUUACCGCAGCUCGUUAAAUUUCCAACACCGACGAAUGUUUACCCUUCGGAUUCUCGAUCAAUUUUUUGGAGUUGCCUAAUGUUUCCAUUAAAUCAUAUGAAAAAGGUUUUUGAAAAACUGCAACCACCUGUACUGUAUUUGCCCUCUUACGAUCAAACUGCUACGACGGAUGAAAUUAAAAAAUAUUGUGGCUUACCCUGUUUACAAUUCCCCAUUGCCGUUGCUAAUUAUUUUGCCUUAGCUGUCGAAUUAAAAGUAAAAGUCACAAUGUCGGCCUUAAUUAAAAAAAUCACCGCCAACGCUACACCUGAAACGAAAUGUGUAAUAACUAUGGAUACUAUUCGAGAAGCGUAUGCAAUCAUCACUUCUUCUAGAUAGCACGUUAAAAGAUUUCCCGUGGGAUAAACCUCACGUUAUGAGAGAAUGUCGUUUUCAUUAUAUAGAACGAAAUAUUAAACGUUUAAGGCCCGAGGACACUCCUACCCCGAAUGAGAAGGAAUCAGACAUAAAAGUCACGGAAGAUCUAAUUAACAACACUCUAUCAUAGAUGUGUGGUUUUUUUUUUCAGAAGAAACAGAAAUUAAUUUUGAUAUUUCCAUUUAAAUAAACAUACCAGUUUUUCUGUGUGUCAUUUUUUUUUUUCUAAUUUACAAUGUGAACUCAGCAACCUUUAAUUUUUGAAACAUGCAACCACGACAUGCACCCAUGGAAGCACCGUGGUGUGCACAGUCUAGUACAUAGUUUUCCUAAAAGUGUAUCCUUGCGGGAGGAGCGCUGUCGUUGCACGUGACGCUUUGCGGAUGCGCGAUUAUUGCUAGUUGAAAACUACUCCAAUUCCAGUCUAAGAUGCUUAUUGUAUUCUUAGCAAUUUUUGAGGCUUCCGAGCUAACAAUAUAAAAUUUCACUUUCAAUUUAAUCAAAUUUUUUUGUAUUGAUGUUAUUGUUGUUCUGCUAGUUUUAA
Hylaeus volcanicus is the source of this 1846-nucleotide RNA transcript. RefSeq lists it as uncharacterized. The record is from RefSeq and is a predicted model, not a curated record. The transcript is spliced from 6 exons. NCBI's taxonomy places the organism in Eukaryota, Metazoa, Arthropoda, Insecta, Hymenoptera, Colletidae.